This 444-nucleotide ribosomal RNA is filed under the name uncultured bacterium. RNAcentral's name for it is "partial 16S ribosomal RNA". It matches the Rfam family "Bacterial small subunit ribosomal RNA", at positions 330 to 792 of the family's 1533-position model. The record is from RNAcentral.
GCCAGACUCCUACGGGAGGCAGCAGUAGGGAAUAUUGCACAAUGGGGGAAACCCUGAUGCAGCGACGCCGCGUGGGUGAAGAAGCGCCUCGGCGCGUAAAGCCCUGUCAGCAGGGAAGAAAAUGACGGUACCUGAAGAAGAAGCCCCGGCUAACUACGUGCCAGCAGCCGCGGUAAUACGUAGGGGGCAAGCGUUAUCCGGAUUUACUGGGUGUAAAGGGUGCGCAGGCGGAGGCACAAGUCAGCGGUAAAAUCGCGGGGCUCACCCCCGCUCCGCCGUUGAAACUGUGUCCCUUGAGUGCGCGAAGGGUAGGCGGAAUGCGUGGUGUAGCGGUGAAAUGCAUAGAUAUCACGCAGAACUCCGAUCGCGAAGGCAGCCUACCGGCGCGCAACUGACGCUAAUGCACGAAAGCGUGGGUAUCGAACAGGAUUAGAUACCCGAGUA